GCUAAGAUAGUUUAAUUUUAGAAUUUGUAACUUGUAAUUACAGGGUUUAUGUUAGCA
This 57-nucleotide transfer RNA is filed under the name Oesophagostomum dentatum (nodular worm). RNAcentral's name for it is "transfer RNA-Thr". Lineage: Eukaryota; Metazoa; Nematoda; Chromadorea; Rhabditida; Strongylidae. The record is from RNAcentral.